UCGCACGAAGAAGGGUAGCAAUACCUGAGUACAGUGGCGCACGGGUGAGUAACACGUGAAUAAUCUACCUCCGAGUGGGGAAUAACUGAGAGAAAUCUUAGCUAAUACCGCAUAACACUUACGAGUCAAAGCAGCAAUGCGCUUGGAGAGGAGUUCGCGGCCGAUUAGUUAGUUGGCGGGGUAAUGGCCCACCAAGACGAUGAUCGGUAUCCGGCCUGAGAGGGCGCACGGACACACUGGAACUGAAACACGGUCCAGACUCCUACGGGAGGCAGCAGUGGGGAAUUUUGCGCAAUGGGGGAAACCCUGACGCAGCAACGCCGCGUGGAGGAUGAAAUAUCUUGGUAUGUAAACUCCUUUCGAUGGGGAAGAUUAUGACGGUACCCAUAGAAGAAGCCCCGGCUAACUUCGUGCCAGCAGCCGCGGUAAUACGAGGGGGGCAAGCGUUGUUCGGAUUUAUUGGGCGUAAAGGGUGCGUAGGCGGUUUGGCAAGUCUGAUGUGAAAUCUAUGGGCUCAACCCAUAGUCUGCAUCAGAAACUGCCGGGCUUGAGUAUGGGAGAGGUGAGUGGAAUUUCCGGUGUAGCGGUGAAAUGCGUAGAUAUCGGAAGGAACACCUGUGGCGAAAGCGGCUCACUGGACCAUAACUGACGCUGAUGCACGAAAGCUAGGGGAGCAAACAGGAUUAGAUACCCUGGUAGUCCUAGCCCUAAACAAUGAUGGUUUGAUGUGGCAG
This 734-nucleotide ribosomal RNA is filed under the name uncultured bacterium. Its description in RNAcentral is "bacterial SSU rRNA". It matches the Rfam family "Bacterial small subunit ribosomal RNA", at positions 62 to 828 of the family's 1533-position model. The record is from RNAcentral.